Long non-coding RNA from Diachasmimorpha longicaudata, 2802 nucleotides. RefSeq lists it as uncharacterized. The record is from RefSeq and is a predicted model, not a curated record. The transcript is spliced from 3 exons. Lineage: Eukaryota; Metazoa; Arthropoda; Insecta; Hymenoptera; Braconidae.
UGGGCGAAGGGGUGCACAAAGGGGGGAGGGGGGAAUCUUAAUCGAAAUACUAAAAAAUGAAUAACGCUCAACUGUCAUGUCACUCCGAAGUUUCGACAGUCUCCGCUAGAGGCAUAGCAGAUCGCAUUUAGCGGAGGGUAGGUAAGCACCUAUACCCCUAGGAGCUUACCUACGGCAGAAAGCCGUAUUGACGCCCGGAAUUGUUGUCUUUCGUGAAGGACCUUUAGGAAAAAUGGUGCGAGGUGCACCAAAGGAAGAGUGGCACUCAUAACGCUCCACCGUUGUGGAUUUUCACAAUGCCUUUGGGACUUGCCAGACUAUGGUGAUGCUUGGCCGACCCUCCUCCACCCCUCCCGUUGCAUAUCCACCGCUGCAGUGAUGCACGCGCGCGUUGGCUCUCUGCUAAGUUAAUGUGGUGACGCUUGACUGACCCCCUACCCCCUUUUAAUGCUUGAGAUACCCUCUACUGCCCCGAGUGACCCUCUUAAAGUUUCACUUGUCCCCUCAAGUCACCCUCGUUACUGUUAUGAACCUUUACCAACUCCCUAAGGACCCUCGUAACGUUGAACCGGUGCCCUAGUGAAGUUUAACUCUUCCCCAGUUGACCUCAUCCUGCAUUUUUCAAAAUUAUUUCCCCCCUCCAAAUUCAGACUAAGAAAUUAGACCACUGUCAUUUAUCAAGAGUUUAACGAGUAAUUACGUGGCGUUGGUUUCAUUCCUUCAUCUUUAUUACCGGGCGAGAAAUGAAUUUGCUAAUCGUGGUGGGUUACUGCAUAGUCGAACUUGACACCAUAUAACUGGUUGACCUCAGACUGCAUUUUUGAAAAUUAAUUCAUCCCCUCCAAAUUGAAAUUAAGAAAUGAAACCUCCGUAAUGUAUCUUCAUCUCUAUGAGAGAAGGGAGAAGUCAAUCGUCCACUGCGAGGAGAGCACGUAACACAGACUUUAUUCAAUAACUUUUAAAUCUCAACUUGAGUCUUGAAAUAUUAAUAAACAUUCAGAAAAACUAACAAACAAAACUAGACUGUGAAAUUUGGCGAUUAAUUAUUUGAAGAGAGAAGCGGCACAGAAACAAGUUAAAAUCGAACUGAACUAACUUAACUAAUUUUCCAAGGGUUGGGUCCUACAACCCCCACUAGUCUAAAUGUUGCGCUCGCAACUUGGUCAAGAAAAGGGAAGAGGGGUAGAAUAAGGAAAGCGGUGAAAAGGAAAACGCGUGACAUCGCGUUUUCUCUGUGAAGGGACUCAGGCCCUCAGCUUUCGAUACAAUGGACAAAGAAGACUUGAAGUUGAAGAAGUUGAAUCAAAACAUGAGCAAAAACAGAACUGGUACUUUACGACGUACACUGUAUUGAUUCGAAGAUUUAUGAUUUCCUUCUCAAGUUUCAGGUUUGCAGAAAAUGUUGAUCCAACGAAUUUUACUGGUAAAUAAAUGGGAAAGUUAAACUCAAGAGGUUAAGAUUUAUGCGUAACGGUUUUUCCCACACUGGUGGUGUUGUUUUCAUUGUUCGUUGUCCAUUGUAUCUACUUAUUUUCUGCGUAUUUCGACACUGAUUAAAAAUAUAAAAAAUAAGAUUAAUGUAAAUUUCGCGGACUAAGAUUAAUCAUAUAUAGUGACAUCUACUGGCUAUCAAGCUCAGAACAUCACAGACAACCCAGUUGUUGCCGCGCCUAGGGAUAAGGCUCGGCUUGCCCCCACGACACUGUUGAUCGGAAAUCAACAAUAGGAUACAUUGUAAGACUGUUCGGGAAUUUAAUCCAUUGCAAAUCGCGUAAACAGAAGUCUGUGACAAAAUCCUCUAUCGAAGCUAAGUAUGUCGCGUUAUCGGAAGCGGUAACAGAAAUUAACUAUAUAAGAAGCUUACUUAACAAAAUAUUUAAAAUUGACUUUGUCAAGCCUACAAAAAUAUACGAAGACAAUUAAGGUGCUGUUCCUAUUGCUAGAAGUUGAAAUUUAUCAAAGAAAUCAAAGUACAUAAAAGUACAAUACAACGAUCUGCAUAAUUAUGGAAAAGAAUCAAACAUUGCUGAUAUUUUGGCGAAAGCUCGAUGUAAACCAAAGUGUGUUAAAUUAAGACAAGAAUCGAAAUUGAAGCAAAGUUAAGGGUCAGGAUGAAGACUAAGAAAAUACUAAUGUAAAAAGGCGUGUUAGAAUAGGACUACAUUUGUAUUUGGGUUUUCUGUUGGCAAAACGGUACUGUAUAACCUACCUCAACUGCCGCUGUAUAACUGCCUCAAAAUCGACAUCGUGGUAAUGUUGAAAAUACAGUGCUGGAUCGCAAUCUCCAUUUCAGCGUCAGAUCGAUACCGGCAUUAUGUCCGUAUUUAGAUACUGAAUUUUGUUGUUUCCAUAAACAUCUAAACGACAUCGCAAUUAUGUCGUUGGCCGAGUACAGGAUUUCGACUAUGACCAAGCAUCAAAACGAUACGGUGGCAACUUAGCAAUCCAAUAUCGAAUUCUAUACUGGAAAUCAGUAUCGUGACGGUGCCAAAGGAAUGGUCAUAUGUCUAUGCUAAAAUAUUUUGCUAUGCUAGAAUUUUUUUACGCCUAAUAUCUUUUAGAAUAUUCAAGAUAUCGAAAGAUUGCAAAAUAUUAAUUUUGAUGUAAAUUAAAUGUGCUAUAUUUCUGUCCCCCUUUUUGUUUGUAUGUUAUAUACUCUCCAUGUAAAUUGAAGAAAAAAGUGGAAAUUACUCGCUAAAUGGCAACAACAUUUUAUUUACGCAUAAAAAAAUUGAGAUUGGUUGUAAAAUUAUCAUAAAUUGGAAAAAUUAAACCUUAGAAAAAAAUAUUUGUGUAAAAAUA